Molecule: non-coding RNA, 245 nt
Organism: Lonchura striata (white-rumped munia)
Lineage: Eukaryota; Metazoa; Chordata; Aves; Passeriformes; Estrildidae
Source: RefSeq, a predicted model, not a curated record
GGCAGGACUUACCCGCACACACAAAAGGCUGGCUGCGAGACAAUGAGGGAGAGAAAAUGGCUCCGCAAGAAGAGCAUCUGCCAGACUUUUUAAUUGUGAUUUCCUGCGGAGAGAAUCCCUCGCUGGGCAGCAUUCCCUCCGCUGGUGGCCUUGCUGCUGCAAAUGUCAUGGAUGGGACAUUUUCACCACAUCAAACAUUUUCUCCAGAGCUCUUCUGAAAUGAGGAAUUUUUCCAGGCCAGCCUU